This 301-nucleotide ribosomal RNA is filed under the name uncultured bacterium. RNAcentral describes it as "partial 16S ribosomal RNA". It matches the Rfam family "Bacterial small subunit ribosomal RNA", at positions 509 to 807 of the family's 1533-position model. The record is from RNAcentral.
CAGUAGCCGCGGUAAUACGAAGGGGGCUAGCGUUGCUCGGAAUGACUGGGCGUAAAGGGCGCGUAGGCGGAUUGUUUAGUUAGGCGUGAAAUUCCUGGGCUUAACCUGGGGACUGCGCUUAAUACAGGCAGUCUAGAGUGAGGAAGAGGGUUGUGGAAUUCCCAGUGUAGAGGUGAAAUUCGUAGAUAUCGGGAAGAACACCGGUGGCGAAGGCGGCAACCUGGUCCUUGACUGACGCUGAGGCGCGAAAGCGUGGGGAGCAAACAGGAUUAGAUACCCCUGUAGUCCCUGUCUCUUAUAC